Molecule: transfer RNA, 73 nt
Filed under: miscellaneous Crenarchaeota group-6 archaeon AD8-1
Lineage: Archaea; Thermoproteati; Candidatus Bathyarchaeota; Bathyarchaeia (SeqCode)
Also listed under: 1 other name
Description: tRNA-His
Rfam family: tRNA
About the family: Transfer RNA (tRNA) molecules are approximately 80 nucleotides in length. Their secondary structure includes four short double-helical elements and three loops (D, anti-codon, and T loops).
Source: RNAcentral
GCCGAGAUGAGGUAGCCUGGUAGCCUAUAGGCCUGUGGAGCCUAUCGCCUGGGUUCGAAUCCCAGUCUCGGCC